AUACGGAGGGAGCUAGCGUUGUUCGGAAUUACUGGGCGUAAAGCGCACGUAGGCGGCUACUCAAGUCAGAGGUGAAAGCCCGGGGCUCAACCCCGGAACUGCCUUUGAAACUAGGUAGCUAGAAUCUUGGAGAGGCGAGUGGAAUUCCGAGUGUAGAGGUGAAAUUCGUAGAUAUUCGGAAGAACACCAGUGGCGAAGGCGACUCGCUGGACAAGUAUUGACGCUGAGGUGCGAAAGCGUGGGGAGC
This 247-nucleotide ribosomal RNA is filed under the name uncultured bacterium. Its description in RNAcentral is "partial 16S ribosomal RNA". It matches the Rfam family "Bacterial small subunit ribosomal RNA", at positions 523 to 769 of the family's 1533-position model. The record is from RNAcentral.